Molecule: long non-coding RNA, 3124 nt
Filed under: Salmo salar (Atlantic salmon)
Lineage: Eukaryota; Metazoa; Chordata; Actinopteri; Salmoniformes; Salmonidae
Description: lncRNA (ENSSSAG00000112380.1)
Source: RNAcentral
GUGUUGUUACAAUGUUGUCAUGUGAAAUUAAACGUGUCCAUUGGUUUAGCAUUGUUGACAUUGGUUUAGCAUUGAGUGAUGAACUUCGAAUAUUCCACCAUAAUUUCAAUGCGGCUACAUUAAUUAUUUUAGGCUGGCGGUUGUGCCGUUGCCAGAGAUAUAUAACAGGUGUUUUCGAAGUUGUUCUUAUAACAAAAGUCACAAGCUACUUACUUAUUUUUACGUUUGGAGGCCUCAUGUUUUUUCGGCAUAAUUUCUUCUUGCCUUAUCCUACUUUUUGUUUGCUGGAAAUCUUGCUAGGCACCAUGUUGACACAAGGGAGGUGACAAGCAUGACCAUUAAAAGGUUAUCUGCACAAAGCCAAAAAGGAGUCGGAGUCUGUCUUCACAGUGGGACUUGGCAGAGCAAAAAAGAAGAUCAGAGAGAGAGGAGGAUUGGGAAGAGUGUGAUGGAGAGGUGGCGUGCUACUCAUGUCCUCUUCAGUUCAGUCACACACAGGCUGGCAUGAAGAUACACAAUGCAAGUGGGUAGCACUCUCACAUCCGAGGCCACCAGGGGCUAUAUCCCACUGAAUCAAAAGGCGGCAGAGAGUGGAAGCAGGGUGGCAUGGCGUGCUGGCCUGCGAGUGGAGGUGAGGACAGAGAGCAUGGCUGAAGGCUAGGGAACACGAAGACCUCAGCCAGCUGCCCCGAGAGCGAGGACAGUCAGAGGGUUGGAGAGCCUCACUGCUAAAGGGAUGAGACUGAACCCCUUUGACUUUUACUGUGACUAGAGAGUGGCUCAUCCCAUCUGGUCUCCUGCAUUAGGAGUAGUAUUGUCUGUGUAGGGAGCUACUUGCAGACUGCUUCACCAAGGCAGUGUGUGGUGUGGUUAGAACAUACUGUAUGAAGGACACUGCGCACACUGCAGUACAUCACUUCAAAUACACAAACCUCUAGUUUGUUUAAAUUGAGGCCAUGUUUUGGAUACCACACUCUCCAUGUAUGUGCGUCAUCAUGUCAAAAAGCAUUCAAAUUCUGGUUUAUAUUUGGUUGCAGAUGCGUCAUAGUCAGAGCAAUCCUUAGGCGAACCUGUCUAUUAUAUAUUCUGAAAUUUGGUUCAUUGAGGUGACUUUCUGACUCACUGACUUGUUCAGUUGCUCUGCUGGAGAUGGGCUGAGAGCUCUUUAUGUGUCAUGUUUAUUUGAAAUCUUAUUGGUUAGAUUUGGAGAUGCAGGAUUUCAUGAUCUUUUGUACUCUGGCAGCAGCAGCCUGCAGAGACAGACUUGAAUUUCACACUUGCUGAACAUUUGCAACUGAUUAUUGAGAGAGUACUUUAGCUGAGAAAAUGUUACUGCCAAACUUCUAUCAAGACAGCCAGUGUCAUUUGCCUUGUGUCUUUGAUGUGCAUCAUCGAUGUACGUGUCGGCUGCAAUAGAACCAUUCAGAAUACAUUCUGAUUGGUUCUGGUCAUUAAAUCACUGUCACGUUUCUCCAAACAGCAAGAGAGAAAACCCAACGUUCAAGGCUGGUUUCCACUGAGAUGAUUAAAAACCUAUUGUCUUUCUCCUCUCCCUCAGCCACAGGAGGUCAGCCUGUGGCAGAUACAUAUCAGCCUCUAUUGAGUGGAAUUAAUUGGAAAUAGCUGGACUGUGCCGUGGUGGUACAGUCUCUCUCCCUCUUCAGUUCCUACCCCUGGCUGGCUCCAUAAUCCCCCUUUUCACAGGGAGGGGAGGUGGCUUGUGCUGCAGUUCCUUGAUAAGACAAUGUUAAUAUUCUGUGUGGUGAGCUAUGCAUCAGAGCGCCGGUCAGAGGAUUGGAACGGCACGUCGCGGGAAUACCCAUGAGCGCAGCUGUGUCGGUUUGUCGGAGACAUGCUGUAUUUCUUAACACUUACACACACGGGCACACGUCACACACACGUAACACACACAUGCACUUGCAAAGAUACAUGCAAAUAUACACAGCACAAAGACAUGGCGUUGGAUAAAGUAAAUCCAAGGUGUUUUACAAAUGCAAUACAGAACAAACAAACUGAGUCAUAUUUUCAUUCAUAAUAUACCCUUGUUGUUGAGUCAUGAAGCUGUUGUGAUUGGCUCCCAUGAUCCCAGAAUACUACAAUAACCUUAACUAAUUAAAGGCAUGUUUCCACGUCAUGAUCUGAUGCUGCUGUCGUCACAGUUCUAUUCACAAAGAAGGGACAGCAACGGCCAGAGUGUCCAGGUCUAAAUCUUUCUCUCCUGGUGUACACUUGCACGUGUCAGUGUAGUGUAGUGUCGGCUACACGUGAAGCUCUCCUCGGCCUCAGUGGGCAGCUAACUGGCUGCUAACUCCACUGUUUCGAACACAUAUGCCACACGGCAGAUGUUCAACAACAGAAGAGCUCCAAAAAGCAGAAAGCUUUUUCACAGCUGUGUUUUUAUUCUACACACAUUAGAGGUUGGGUCAAUAGAGCCCAGGUAUGAUCAAUAGAUUUGAUUCUGCCUGAGAGGCUGACAGAAACCAUUAUAACAGGCCACUUACAUAAUCCAGUGGAUUUCCUGUGUUCCCAUAACGUACUGUACUGGGUGGGGUGCUUUAAUCAAACAUACCACAACAACAUUGUUGUUUUAGGCCCCACUACAGUCACUGUUUGGUGGAAAAGAGCGGAAAUGGGCGCCUCCAGAGGUUGUGGAUUGUUACUGGGAAUUUGUGACCCCGUCAGAUUUGGGGUGAUCCCUGCGGUUCUCUGGUUCAGUGGAAAAAGAGUGUUCUGAUGUUGAACUCAAUGAUGGCAGGUUGCCAGUUAACCUCUCAACACUCUAAUAAUAUUACACACACACACACUACAUACGCCCACACACACAUAACAUGCACAUACAUGCAUACUGACACCACACGCACACGCACACACACACACACACACACACACACACACACACACACACACACACUCACCACAUACACUGCUGCUACUGUCUAUUAUCUAUCCUGUUGCCUAGUCACUUUACGCCUACCUAUAUGUACAGUACAUAGCUACCUCAAUAACCUUGUACCCCUGCACGUCGACUCUGUACUGGUACUCCCUGUAUAUAGCCAUGUUAUUUUCUACUCCCUGUAUAUAGCCAUGUUAUUUUCUACUCCCUGUAUAUAGCCAUGUUAUUUUC